UGGAUAAAUUAUUGUAUUCAACUGUAUUCAAGGCGUAAAAUAAGGGAUUACACUAUUUUUAAACGGAAAGUGAAUCAAUUAACAUAAUAGACUCAU
RNAcentral lists this microRNA precursor (96 nucleotides) under Nicotiana sylvestris (wood tobacco). RNAcentral's name for it is "MIR6152 microRNA precursor family". It matches the Rfam family "MIR6152 microRNA precursor family". RNAcentral also lists the same sequence under 1 other name. The record is from Rfam by way of RNAcentral. Lineage: Eukaryota; Viridiplantae; Streptophyta; Magnoliopsida; Solanales; Solanaceae.